GAUGAACGCUGGCGGCGUGCCUAAUACAUGCAAGUCGAGCGAACAGAUGAGGAGCUUGCUCCUCUGACGUUAGCGGCGGACGGGUGAGUAACACGUGGAUAACCUACCUAUAAGACUGGGGUAACUUCGGGAAACCGGAGCUAAUACCGGAUAAUAUAUUGAACCGCAUGGUUCAAUAGUGAAAGACGGUUUUGCUGUCACUUAUAGAUGGAUCCGCGCCGCAUUAGCUAGUUGGUAAGGUAACGGCUUACCAAGGCAACGAUGCGUAGCCGACCUGAGAGGGUGAUCGGCCACACUGGAACUGAGACACGGUCCAGACUCCUACGGGAGGCAGCAGUAGGGAAUCUUCCGCAAAGGGCGAAAGCCUGACGGGGCAACGCCGCGUGAGUGAUGAAGGUCUUCGGAUCGUAAAACUCUGUUAUUAGGGAAGAACAAAUGUGUAAGUAACUAUGCACGUCUUGACGGUACCUAAUCAGAAAGCCACGGCUAACUACGUG
This 497-nucleotide ribosomal RNA is filed under the name uncultured bacterium. RNAcentral's name for it is "partial 16S ribosomal RNA". It matches the Rfam family "Bacterial small subunit ribosomal RNA", at positions 28 to 507 of the family's 1533-position model. The record is from RNAcentral.